GCCACUGCAGAUUAGGCAACUCGGCCAGGGUGGGCGGGCCAUGUGUCACCACCCUGCCAAACGGUCAGCGGGCCUUGGAACCCAGCAGGCGGACCUGAAGAGGCGAGUGACCCCAGGACUCACCUGCUGAGGGGAGGAGGCUGAACUCGAACCCAGCGUCUUCCGGGACAUGGCAGCUGUGAGGCCCUGCCUGGGCCGAGUCCUCCCAGGAUCGUCCAUACUAUUUCUGUGUGACAUGCAGGAGAAGUUCCGCCAUAUCAUGUACUUCCCCCAGAUUGUCUCUGUGGCCGCCCGAAUGCUCAAGGUGGCCCAGCUGCUGGAGGUGCCAGCCAUGCUGACAGAGCAGUACCCACAAGGCCUGGGCCCCACAGUGCCUGAGCUGGGGGCCGAGGGCCUGCAGCCACUGCCCAAGACCUGCUUCAGCAUGGUGCCAGUGGUGCAGCAGGAGCUGGACGCACGGCCCCAGCUGCGCUCUGUACUCCUCUGUGGCAUAGAGACACAGGCCUGCAUCCUGGUUGGCCCUGACCUCUCUCUGCUCCUAGCACACGGCCCUGGACCUCCUGGACCGGGGCCUGCAGGUCCAUGUGGUGGUGGACGCCUGCACCUCCCGCAGCCAGGUGGACCGGCUGGUGGCACUGGCCCGGCUGAGGCAGAGUGGCGCCUUCCUCUCCACCAGUGAAGGGCUCAUUCUCCAGCUAGUGGGUGACGCCUCCCACCCCCAGUUCAAAGAGAUUCAGAAGAUCAUCAAGGAGCCUGUUCCAGACAGCGGACUGCUUGGCCUCUUCCAAGGCCAGAACCCUCUCUUCCACUGAACUCCCACCUUGCCUUGAGGGGAUAGCUCCUUCCUGUCACCUGGACCUUGGUAGAAGCGCUUUCCCCCCAUCCUUGAAUCCCAAGAGUGGUGCAGUCCACCGGGAGUACUGCCCCUUGAGUGGGAAGGCAGGUGCUGCCUUGCCAUUGGGCGGCAGUUCCAGGAAAUGCAAAUGAGCUUCUGGCAGCUGGAUGGCUAUUGGUGGAGCUGCGCUGGAGGUGGGGCUCUACCCCCAGCCACUUCAAGGAGCGGGAAAGGGAGGGGGCGGAGUGUCACAGACUGUGUGGGACCCGGACUCGCAGAAUAAACAUUGAGGUGGCUGUGGACCGAA
This is an RNA transcript of Pteropus alecto (black flying fox), 1142 nucleotides long. It is a transcript of the gene named isochorismatase domain containing 2, with no coding region annotated. The transcript is spliced from 6 exons. NCBI's taxonomy places the organism in Eukaryota, Metazoa, Chordata, Mammalia, Chiroptera, Pteropodidae. The record is from RefSeq and is a predicted model, not a curated record.